GCCUUGAAAUACCACCCUUUAAUGUUUGAUGUUCUAACGUGGACCCGUGAUCCGGGUUGCGGACAGUGUCUGGUGGGUAGUUUGACUGGGGCGGUCUCCUCCUAAAGAGUAACGGAGGAGCACGAAGGUUGGCUAAUCCUGGUCGGACAUCAGGAGGUUAGUGCAAUGGCAUAAGCCAGCUUGACUGCGAGCGUGACGGCGCGAGCAGGUGCGAAAGCAGGUCAUAGUGAUCCGGUGGUUCUGAAUGGAAGGGCCAUCGCUCAACGGAUAAAAGGUACUCCGGGGAUAACAGGCUGAUACCGCCCAAGAGUUCAUAUCGACGGCGGUGUUUGGCACCUCGAUGUCGGCUCAUCACAUCCUGGGGCUGAAGUAGGUCCCAAGGGUAUGGCUGUUCGCCAUUUAAAGUGGUACGCGAGCUGGGUUUAGAACGUCGUGAGACAGUUCGGUCCCUAUCUGCCGUGGGCGCUGGAGAACUGAGGGGGGCUGCUCCUAGUACGAGAGGACCGGAGUGGACGCAUCACUGGUGUUCGGGUUGUCAUGCCAAUGGCACUGCCCGGUAGCUAAAUGCGGAAGAGAUAAGUGCUGAAAGCAUCUAAGCACGAAACUUGCCCCGAGAUGAGUUCUCCCUGACCCUUUAAGGGUCCUGAAGGAACGUUGAAGACGACGACGUUGAUAGGCCGGGUGUGUAAGCGCAGCGAUGCGUUGAGCUAACCGGUACUAAUGAACCGUGAGG
RNAcentral lists this ribosomal RNA (733 nucleotides) under Shigella sonnei. Its description in RNAcentral is "partial 23S ribosomal RNA". It matches the Rfam family "Bacterial large subunit ribosomal RNA", at positions 2189 to 2916 of the family's 2925-position model. The record is from RNAcentral. Lineage: Bacteria; Pseudomonadati; Pseudomonadota; Gammaproteobacteria; Enterobacterales; Enterobacteriaceae.